Toxorhynchites rutilus septentrionalis is the source of this 1911-nucleotide long non-coding RNA. RefSeq lists it as uncharacterized. The record is from RefSeq and is a predicted model, not a curated record. NCBI's taxonomy places the organism in Eukaryota, Metazoa, Arthropoda, Insecta, Diptera, Culicidae. The transcript is spliced from 4 exons.
CAUCACCACAUCACGCCACAUCACGCACCAGACGGAAGCCAACGUUUUAGGGAUGUCAGAGUUUUGGGCUAGAACCGGACGGAACCAAGCCUCACCACACACAAAGCAACCGAACUACGCGAUUGCUUCCUAAAGGCCGUACGAGUGGUUUUCAAUGUUCGGAGUUUUGGGGCUUUGGGCGAUAUGCGAGAACCAUUAACAUGAGAAGAAGAGCACGUGUACAGACGUGGAUAAAUCUGAUGCUGAGAGUUUGAGAAAAUAUUCAAUGAUUGUUGGGAUAAUCUGCUUACUGUUUUUUAAGAUUCUCAGUACUCUCGUGUCACUGACUGUGAACGCUCGUGUGAAGAGGACGGGACACGCUCAGAUCGGUACGUGUUCAUGUGCAAGUUAAUGACGAUAAAGGUUCUUCCGCGUUUGUUUGGUUGACGUUUUCCAGGUUCUUCUUUAGAUCCCACGCAGAAAUCGGUACGUCAUCAAAUGUUUCAGAUUGAACUGUGAACAUGAUGAUGGUAAGUGUAAACGUGCCCUAAUUAAUUGAAGUGUUUCACUGAAUACCCAUCAGUGAAGGGCGGCGCGGCAGCACUGCGUUCUAGUGUUUUUGACACCCUAUAGAAGGUUGUUAACAAUUCGGGCGUAGAAAAAGAAGUAAAUAAAGCUAUUUGCCCUCGAACCUUACUGCGAGUGAAGAACAGUUCAACGCGGAGUGAAGCAAGAAAUUCCCAAUUGAAGGGCAACAUUCUUCUGGAGGAAGAGAAGAUUCAUGGUUUCUGGCUCCAAAGGGGAUUCGGUAGUGGAAGAGCAUAAAUCUGUACACACGAAUUAGGCAUAUAGCUUUUUUAGUCGUGAAAUAAAUUCUGGUUUGAAAUGUGCAUAUAAAAUUGGGAGAAUCGUAACGCAAAUAGCGGACCGUCAUCUCGGGAGCCUCGUGAAUAUCAGUGCUUUUGCAAUACUCGUAAAGUGAUAUGGUAUAAAGUGGAUGGUGGUAUACAGAGAUGAAACAUCGAGAAGUCAAAUUCCUUUUGUAGGGUUUAACGAGGGUCGAUGCGGAGGAUAAAACGAAGUAUAUUGUACGGAUGUUUAGUGCUUUGUACUUAUCGCAGUGCUAGUUAGCUGGUGUGAUAAAAUACCAAGAUUUUUAAACAGACGAAGGUCACAUAAAAAAGGAAUAUUGGCAUGGAACAGUGUGGUAAAAUAUUGUGGUGUCCAUUGGAUAAUGACAUUGACAAUUUAACCAGAACCUAAGUACUGAUGCAGCUUUGGCGAAAACGAGAGAAGGGCACAAUAAUACGCAAACGUAUAGCCAGCUCCUGACGAGAAUAUAUUAGGUGUAAAUGUUCGUUGGUGGAGAGAAAUUGCGAAAAAUAAAUCCCCUCGAGACGGAAGGAAUCUUCAGAAAUCUGCUCGUUAUCAAACUAGGCUAACCAUUUUCUGGAUUUCCGACUACUUCAGACUAUUUUGCGUGACCAUAGAAUGCCGUCAAAUAGCUCUGCCGCAUGAACGUGUUCCCCAAUUACCAGUCUGUUUUUACCCCAUUCAAAUGCUCAGUUAGCGACUGGUUAUUCUUGAUAUUCAUGACAUGGUGGGAUUUGGAAUGCAAAUACAAGAAUAUAACGAUGAGGUGCGGUCUCGAUGAUAACGCAGAAGGGAUAUACCACGCCGGAUAUAGCGGGUGAAACCAUCCACCCGGGCUUACCCGUUUAUCGUCAAUUUGCUGAACGGUGACCAUCCGGCAGACUAUUGGCACAGUCACUGCUCUCCACAAUGCUGGCCUGCCGAUCGACUUUCGGAUAAAAAUAGCUUUAAAUCAGUACCAGGACUGGAACUGAUCGGAUGAUAUCAUUUUGGGAUGAUGAUAAGAAGAAUCAAAGGAUCAACACUAAAACGAAAAACAAUAAAAAUGACAGAAGAAAA